ACAGCCUGCGCACCGACAUGCACAUCAGUGGGGUGUUUGCCACUAAGGAUGCUGUCGCAGUCUGGAACGGAAGGCAGGUGGCGAUCUUCGAGCUUUCUGGAGCCGCGAUACGGAGUGCAGGGACCUUCUUGUGUGAGACGCCCGUGUUAGCAAUGCAUGAAGAAAACGUUUACACGGUGGAGUCAAACCGAGUUCAAGUUCGAACCUGGCAGGGGACUGUCAAACAACUCCUCCUUUUCUCGGAGACUGAGGGGAACCCCUGCUUCUUGGAUGUCUGUGGGAAUUUCCUGGUUGUAGGGACAGACUUGGCUCACUUUAAAAGCUUUGAUCUUUCCCGAAGAGAGGCCAAAGCACACUGCAGCUGCAGGAGCCUGGCGGAGCUGGUCCCUGGGGUGGGGGGCAUCGCUUCUCUGCGGUGCAGCAGCAGCGGGAGCACCAUCAGCAUCCUCCCCAGCAAGGCUGACAACAGCCCUGAUUCCAAAAUCUGCUUCUACGAUGUUGAAAUGGACACAGUGACCAUCUUUGACUUCAAGACUGGACAAAUUGAUCGGAGAGAGACGCUGUCCUUUAAUGAGCAAGAGACUAAUAAGAGCCACCUCUUUGCGGAUGAGGGACUGAAAAAUUAUGUUCCCGUGAACCACUUCUGGGACCAGAGCGAGCCCCGGCUGUUUGUGUGCGAAGCCGUGCAGGAGACACCGCGCUCCCAGCCUCAGUCUGCAAAUGGGCAGCCCCAAGAUGGGCGCGCUGGCCCUGCGGCAGAUGUUUUGAUCCUGUCCUUCUUCAUUUCCGAAGAGCACGGCUUCCUGCUUCAUGAGAGCUUCCCCCGGCCUGCCGCCUCCCACAGUCUCCUGGGGAUGGAAGUGCCUUAUUACUACUUCACAAGAAAGCCCGAAGAAGCAGACAGAAAAGACGAGGUGGAGCCUGGGUGCCACCACAUCCCUCAGAUGGUGUCCAGGAGACCCCUGCGAGACUUCGUGGGGCUGGAGGACUGCGACAAGGCCACCCGGGACGCCAUGCUCCACUUCAGCUUCUUUGUCACCAUUGGAGACAUGGACGAAGCCUUCAAAUCCAUCAAGCUCAUCAAAAGCGAGGCCGUCUGGGAGAACAUGGCGCGCAUGUGCGUGAAGACCCAGCGGCUGGACGUGGCCAAGGUGUGCCUGGGGAACAUGGGCCAUGCCCGCGGGGCCCGAGCGCUGCGUGAGGCGGAGCAGGAGCCGGAGCUAGAGGCCCGCGUGGCCGUGCUGGCCACACAGCUGGGCAUGCUGGUGAGGGGCGCCCGCCGUGGGGUGGGCGGGAAGGCACCACGCCUGCCACAGCCACAGCCCCCCGGGGAAGGAGGCAUGACCCAGGAGAGCUGGGCAGACAGCGGCAGUGGAGGUGAGGUGGGUGGAGGCUAGGCGACCGCCGGCUCUCCAAGGUGUGUGCCUGUCAGGUGUGUGGGCCUGGAACAGAAUGCCUGAGAGACCCCAGGUCAGCAGGGCUGAGCACAGGACUUCUCGGGGGGCUGUGGGAGGUGGGGCUACCCCUUGGUGGUGCAUCUCACUCUCCAGCCGUGGGACAGGGAUGCCCCGUGGGUGUGUGGCAUUCUCUGUGCCCUCAGUGGCCCCGUGCGUCAGUGUGCUUGGCAGUGUGGGAAGGCGCAGUGACCGGUGGCCUGGCGUGAAACAGUGUGUUUGAAGCCUGGGUUUGCGGAGGCUGCGCGACACCUGCCCGUCCUCAUUCCUCAGGAGGAUGCCGAGCAGCUGUACAAGAAGUGCAAGCGCCACGACCUCCUGAACAAGUUCUACCAGGCUGCGGGCCGGUGGCAGGAGGCCCUCCAGGUAGCCGAGCACCACGACCGCGUGCACCUGCGCAGCACCUACCACCGCUACGCUGGGCACCUGGAGGCCAGCGCCGACUGCAGCCGGGCCCUCAGUUACUACGAGAAGUCGGACACGCACCGCUUCGAGGUGCCCAGGAUGCUGUCGGAGAACCUGCCGUCCCUGGAGCUCUAUGUGAAUAAAAUGAAGGAUAAGACCCUGUGGCGGUGGUGGGCGCAGUACCUGGAGAGCCAGGGAGAGAUGGAUGCCGCGCUGCACUACUACGAGCUGGCCCAGGACCACUUCUCCCUGGUCCGCAUCCACUGCUUCCAGGGCAAUGUCCAGAAGGCUGCGCAAAUAGCCAACGAGACAGGAAACCUGGCGGCCUCCUACCGCCUCGCCCGCCAGUACGAGAGCCAGGAGGAGGUCGGGCAGGCGGUGCACUUCUACACCCGGGCACAGGCCUUCAAGAAUGCCAUCCGCCUGUGCAAGGUACCAUGGGGCCGGGGCGGGGAGCUGGCGCUUCUCGAGGUCCCCUGAAGAGAGCUUCAAGUGGAAAAGUGGACAGAGAGAAUUGUGUCAGUGACACGUGGUGCAGCCGGUGUCUGCCACUCACUGCUCACCCCUCUGCCCACUCCUGGCCGCUUCUGACAUUGUUUGCAAAGCACUGAAUUGUCCCCAGAUGUUUCCCAGGCUCCAGGGCUCCUGAGCGGGUUGUGAGGCUGCUCACGGCCUAUGGCCUUGCAGAUGGCAGACCCUUCCUAGACAGCUGUUGGGUGUUCUGCACCACACAAAUGUCCCAAUCCGGGCUCUCGCUUCCAGAAGCAUCUCCCGUGUCAGGUAUUUCUCGCAGUGCUCUGUGAAAUAGAACCCAGAGCAUCGGAAAAUCCUCGUAGACAAACCCAGUAAGUCAUCAGCUCCUUAAAACCCAUAACCGCAGAGAUCGCUGAGCAGCAUAUCAAAGUGAAGGGGUGGGUUCGCACCCGGCCACAUUCCAGAAUCUCAGCGGACCUGGGGAAGCCGGUGGGAGCCACUUCAGGGCCCUGCCUCCCUCCCUGCAGGAGAACGGCCUGGACGACCAGCUCAUGAACUUGGCCCUGCUGAGCUCCCCCGAGGACAUGAUCGAGGCGGCCCGAUACUAUGAGGAGAAGGGCGUGCAGAUGGACAGGGCAGUCAUGCUGUACCACAAGGCUGGCCACUUCUCCAAGGCCCUGGAGCUGGCCUUCGCCACCCAGCAGUUUGUGGCCCUGCAGCUCAUCGCAGAGGACCUGGAUGAGACGUCAGACCCUGCACUCCUGGCCCGCUGCUCUGACUUCUUCAUCCAGCACAGUCAGUACGAGAGGGCGGUGGAGCUGCUGCUGGCCGCCAAGAAGUAUCAGGAAGCCCUGCAGCUGUGCCUGGAGCAGAACAUGAGCAUCACCGAGGAGAUGGCGGAAAAGAUGACCGUGGCCAAGGACUCCUCGGACCUGCCUGAGGAGUCGCGGCGGGAGCUGCUGGAGCAGAUAGCAAACUGCUGCAUGCGCCAGGGCAGCUACCACCUGGCCACCAAGAAGUACACGCAGGCCGGCAACAAGCUGAAGGCCAUGAGGGCGCUGCUCAAAUCCGGAGACACAGAGAAAAUCACGUUCUUUGCGAGCGUGUCCAGGCAGAAGGAAAUCUACAUCAUGGCUGCCAACUACCUGCAGUCCCUGGACUGGCGGAAGGAGCCGGAGAUCAUGAAGAACAUCAUCAGCUUCUACACCAAGGGGCGGGCCCUGGACCUCCUGGCCGGCUUUUAUGAUGCUUGUGCCCAGGUAGAGAUUGAUGAAUACCAGAACUACGACAAAGCCCAUGGGGCGCUGACCGAGGCCUACAAGUGCCUGGCCAAGGCCAAGGCCAAGAGCCCCCUGGACCAGGAGACCAGGCUGGCGCAGUUGCAGAGCAGGAUGGCACUGGUGAAGAGGUUCAUCCAGGCCCGCAGGACAUACACAGAGGACCCCAAGGAGUCCAUCAAGCAGUGUGAGCUGCUCCUGGAGGAACCAGACCUGGACAGCACCAUCCGCAUUGGGGACGUCUACGGCUUCCUGGUGGAGCACUACGUGCGGAAGGAGGAGUACCAGACGGCCUACAGAUUCCUGGAGGAGAUGCGGCGGCGGCUUCCCUUGGCCAACGUGUCCUACUACGUGAGCCCGCGGGCCGUGGACGCCGUGCACCAGGGGCUGGGUCUCCCACCGCCACGCACCAUCCCCGAGCGGGUCCGCCGCAAUAGCAUGGAGGACGCCAGGGAGCCGGACGAGGAGGUGGUGGAAGAGGCAGACGACGACCCCUGAGGAGCCUUGGCCCCCGGACAAGCGUGCUGCUGCAGAAAGGCAUCUUCUGGAAUUUUUUCGUCAGCUGCGGCAAAGCCAGCUUUUUUGCUGGGAAAAAACAUGUCUGUGUUGGAAUAUGCAACAGAGCUGGGCAAGAACGCGGCGGCCCGGGCCGGCGGGGGGUGUGACCCAUCUGCACCUUGGUCUGUCCCACCUGCCUCUGGGUGCCCGGCAGCUCCAGUAGAUUUUUGGAUUCAUUCCUUUGAAGGGAGUCGGGUUCACCCUUCCAUCGUAUUCUCCCAACUACACAUUGUAAAGCCUGAGAAACUUCUAGAACCUCAGGAAGCUGCAGCUGGAGGGCUAAGGCACCUGCCCCCCUGCUCCCCACACAUCAUAUCCUCCCCACACUCCCGCAGGGCCCACGGCUCCUGAGCAACAGCUGGGACACCCGGGCCCUGGCGGCUGUACCCCCCGCUAGGCUCUGCACACCGGCCACCAACACUCCUGUAAUUCCAAUAAAGUAGUUUAUUUUCUG
Molecule: small RNA, 4622 nt
Filed under: Pongo abelii (Sumatran orangutan)
Lineage: Eukaryota; Metazoa; Chordata; Mammalia; Primates; Hominidae
Description: retained intron
Source: RNAcentral